AAUCUGAACGGUCGCGGCAGUACAUUUGUACUGAUGAGGAAAGUCCGAGCUUCGCAGGACAGGAUGCCGGAGAAAUCCCGGUGGAGGCGACUCUAAGGAAAGUGCAACAGAAAUAAACCGCUUGUUAUACAAGUAAGGGUGGAAAGGCGGGGUAAGAGCCCACCGACAUUGCGGUAACGCUUUGUGCCAUGUAAACCCCAUCCGAAGCAACGCCGACAGGAUUGGUUUGUCCGACCUAUAAUCCGACGGGCGGCUGGAGCCGUGUAGAGAUAUACGGCGUAGAUAGAUGACCGUUUUAAACGACAGAACUCGGCUUACAGGAUUACUCA
RNAcentral lists this RNase P RNA (329 nucleotides) under human gut metagenome. RNAcentral's name for it is "Bacterial RNase P class A". It matches the Rfam family "Bacterial RNase P class A". From Rfam's summary of the family: Ribonuclease P (RNase P) is a ubiquitous endoribonuclease, found in archaea, bacteria and eukarya as well as chloroplasts and mitochondria. The record is from RNAcentral.